RNAcentral lists this transfer RNA (94 nucleotides) under Felis catus (domestic cat). It matches the Rfam family "tRNA". Rfam says of the family: Transfer RNA (tRNA) molecules are approximately 80 nucleotides in length. Their secondary structure includes four short double-helical elements and three loops (D, anti-codon, and T loops). Lineage: Eukaryota; Metazoa; Chordata; Mammalia; Carnivora; Felidae. RNAcentral also lists the same sequence under 5 other names. The record is from Rfam by way of RNAcentral.
ACCUGGGUGGCUCAGUGGGUUAAGCGUCUGACUUCGGCUCAGGUCAUGAUCUGACCUGACCCAGAGUUUGUGGGUUCAAGCCCCGCAUCAGGCU